Molecule: ribosomal RNA, 468 nt
Filed under: uncultured bacterium
Lineage: Bacteria
Description: partial 16S ribosomal RNA
Rfam family: Bacterial small subunit ribosomal RNA
Source: RNAcentral
GACGAACGCUGGCGGCGUGCUUAACACAUGCAAGUCGAACGGAAAGGCCCUGCUUUUGUUGGUUUCUCGAUUGGCGAACGGGUGUGUAACACGUGUGUAUCCUGCCCUUGACUUUGGGAUAACUUCACGAAACUGGGGCUCAUAUCGGAUAUGAUCUCCUGCUGCAUGUUGUUGGUUGGUAAGUUUCGGCGGUUGGGUCUGUUCUCGCUGCUUAUCAGCUUUUUUGUGGGGUAGUUGCUUUCCAAGCCUUUGACGGGUAGCCGGCCUGAGAGGGUUACCGGCCACAUAGGGACUGAGAUACGGCAGAGACUGGUAAGGGAGGGAAAAGUGGGGAAUAUUGAAGAAUGGGCGGAAGGCUGAUGAAGAAAGGCCGCGGGCGGGAUGACGGCCUUAGGGUGGAAAACCGAAUUCGAAUGUGACGAAGCGUGAGUGACGGUAAUGGGUAAAGAAGGACCGGCUAACUACGUG